CCUCCUCCUCCUCCUCCUCCAGGAUAUCACCUGCUGCCACACAAAUGUUGUAGAGGAUGCAGCAGGCAGCAAUUUCCUUCGGGGCAAACAGAGGCCGGAUCUCCAGGGCCCUCAAGAGGAUGGAGCGCCAGCGUGUUUUCAAGACCCCAAAGGCACUUUAAACAACCUGUUGCCCAGGCCCUGCAGGCUGGAUAACCUGCUUUGAAGGUAGCUGUUGUACCGGAGCUCAUCACAGUGAAGGCAUUGGAGGUUGAUAAUGCCACUGAGG
Molecule: long non-coding RNA, 268 nt
Organism: Thunnus maccoyii (southern bluefin tuna)
Lineage: Eukaryota; Metazoa; Chordata; Actinopteri; Scombriformes; Scombridae
Exons: 3
Source: RefSeq, a predicted model, not a curated record